Cydia fagiglandana is the source of this 264-nucleotide long non-coding RNA. RefSeq lists it as uncharacterized. NCBI's taxonomy places the organism in Eukaryota, Metazoa, Arthropoda, Insecta, Lepidoptera, Tortricidae. The record is from RefSeq and is a predicted model, not a curated record. The transcript has 3 exons.
GUGCAUACCCUGCAAGAAGCUGUACGACACUGAGGAAGAAUUGGAGACGCAUUUCAUCAUAUGCAGAGCGGCGAGGAACUACCCUCGCAAGUGCUGCUACUGUUCGGAGAUGCUCCACAACGUCAUUCACUACAAGACGCACUACAUGCAGGAGCACCCCACGCUGCAGUAUCGCUACCUCACUCAGAACAGCAUCUGCGAUAUUUGCGGGAAAUCGAUUUUCAAGCCGCACCUCGAGGCGCACCUCCGCACGCACCACGGCGC